Sinocyclocheilus anshuiensis is the source of this 353-nucleotide long non-coding RNA. RefSeq lists it as uncharacterized. The record is from RefSeq and is a predicted model, not a curated record. NCBI's taxonomy places the organism in Eukaryota, Metazoa, Chordata, Actinopteri, Cypriniformes, Cyprinidae. The transcript is spliced from 3 exons.
GAGUACAUUCAUUUCACCCCAGAAUACCUACUGAAUGACACUUUAAUUGAGCUUUAUGGAUCAAGAGGAAGAGUCUUUGUGCAUGAGUGGGCUCAUAUGAGAUGGGGCGUGUAUGACGAAUGCAAUGGAGAAAAGCCAUUUUACCACUCUAAUGGCCAUAUUGAAGCUACAAGGUGUAGCAAAAACAUUGAAGGUCAGUUUUAUGAAGUUACUGCUGGAGGAUCUCUUCAACAGUGCCGCAUUGAUCCACAAACUUCACUACCUACCAAGGGGUGCAUAUUUUUUCUGGACAGAAAUCAAAUCACAAACAGCUCCAUUAUGUUUUUCCCGGGUCUGGAUGCCGUAAGUAUUGA